AUUGAACGCUGGCGGAAUGCUUUACACAUGCAAGUCGAACGGCAGCACGGACUUCGGUCUGGUGGCGGGUGGCGAACGGGUGAGUAAUAUAUCGGAACGUGCCCAGUCGUGGGGGAUAACGUAGUGAAAAUUACGCUAAUACCGCAUACGAUCUAAGGAUGAAAGCGGGGGAUCGCAAGACCUCGCGCGAUUGGAGCGGCCGAUAUCAGAUUAGGUAGUUGGUAGGGUAAAGGCCUACCAAGCCAACGAUCUGUAGCUGGUCUGAGAGGACGACCAGCCACACUGGAACUGAGACACGGUCCAGACUCCUACGGGAGGCAGCAGUGGGGAAUUUUGGACAAUGGGCGAAAGCCUGAUCCAGCCAUUCCGCGUGCAGGAUGAAGGCCCUCGGGUUGUAAACUGCUUUUGUACAGAACGAAAAGGUCUCUACUAAUACUAGGGGCUCAUGACGGUACUGUAAGAAUAAGCACCGGCUAACUACGUGACAGG
RNAcentral lists this ribosomal RNA (489 nucleotides) under uncultured bacterium. Its description in RNAcentral is "bacterial SSU rRNA". It matches the Rfam family "Bacterial small subunit ribosomal RNA", at positions 30 to 512 of the family's 1533-position model. The record is from RNAcentral.